Long non-coding RNA from Poecilia latipinna (sailfin molly), 1026 nucleotides. RefSeq lists it as uncharacterized. The transcript has 3 exons. NCBI's taxonomy places the organism in Eukaryota, Metazoa, Chordata, Actinopteri, Cyprinodontiformes, Poeciliidae. The record is from RefSeq and is a predicted model, not a curated record.
AGCAUCCUGCCUGCAUUCUGGUCCCCCACCAACAAUGACAGACCCCACGUCUGCAUUAGGAUGAAAAGUUGGCUGUACCUUGACUUAUUCAACCCAGGCUUUGAGACCCAAGUGAGGCAGGCGGCAGAUGAGCUCUGGAGCAAGUGGACGGACCUUCGUGGCUGUCGCUCCGAAUGUUAACGACACCCAAGGAGAGCCCCUGGAAUUUUCCCUAACACUGAUAAAACCCAGAUUUAGUGCCGCUCAUAAAACACAUGGCAAAUUGUGCACUUAUAGGGAUCCACUGCAGGACCUGGAAAUAGGAAUCGGCUCCACUAAAUUUCCAUCUCAAAUACCACCGCCAGGCGAUGAGGAUUUGUUUUCCACCCACUUGCAACUCGGUGGGUGGGUGGAAAUUUUGAUCCUAAUCACUCCUUCUAAAAAGGAAAACAGUAUUAGGUUAUUUUGAAAUUAGCUUUUAUAACAGGCUUAUUGGGUAAAACACAGCAGAAAAAUCUCUACGUGUUCUAUAAAUUUUAAUUUACUGAUAAGACUACAUCACCGGUUCACAGUGGAGUGUCUAAAUAUCAGUCUUCUAAAUCAUGCUAUUGGCUUAAAUAUAUAUGUAUAUACAUAGUUUGAAAAUCUGCAAGCUACGAGGCAAUCAGUGUUAUCAUUGGAUUAGCUGGUUCAUAAGUCUCCUUUCCGCUCUCAUAAGCCUGGAAGAAAAGUCCUUUCACAUGCAAUUGAACCCAAAGUUCAUAUCCUUAUGCAUCCUGCUAAUUAUCUCAAUAUCCUGUUAACGUUUUAACUGGAGGAGUCUGGGCUACUAUGAAUUUAACAAAAUCGUGUACAGGACUGUUUCUUCUACAGUUUUGUUAAUUCCAACAGAUAACUUCUCGUUCAUUUUGAUACUUUUUAUGUCUGUUUCAGUCCUGACUACUUUUUUAAAACCUACUUCAUUGGGGAUGCCACUCAAAACACGAUGUCAGAAGACUUCCGGUCCCUGGUGGUCACACGAGAAAGACUUCGCCUUUUGAUUGAAAA